RNAcentral lists this long non-coding RNA (451 nucleotides) under Homo sapiens (human). RNAcentral describes it as "HSALNT0305629". The record is from RNAcentral. Lineage: Eukaryota; Metazoa; Chordata; Mammalia; Primates; Hominidae.
UUCUUUUUUUUUUUUUUUUAUCUCAGCAUCAUUAUUUGCAAAAUGAUCAAGAUAAUGCCUAAGUCACAAGUUUGUGUUUGUUUGUUUUAUGUGUAUGUGUAUGUGUGAAGAUUCAAUAUGCUUAUAUAUCUACAAGACCUGCUGAAUGGUGCCUGCAACUUCUGUGACCAUUUUGCCAUGUUGGGACCAAGUGUGAAUGCAAAGUUUGCACAUAGAGGAGAACUGACCAAUCGGAGAAUGGAAAACUUCUUGAUCAUUGAUGACAGCAGUCAACCAGUGAAGCCAUCAAGCCUGGAGUUUUUCCUACUGCUGGAAUUCUUGUCAUUGCAGAAAAUCAAUGUUGUGUUCUGAUUUGGGGCAUUCUAGCUUGCAAAUAGAGGCAUCUUAGCUGACACCAAAUGCUCCCUAAGGAUAUUCCAAAGAUAAAAUUGAUGUCUUCAUUUUGAAGGGC